GAGAGGCGGCUCCGGCGAGGAUGAUCAAGAAGGGCCUCUUCAAAUCCAAGCCCAAGACCCCGGCCGAGCUCGUGCGCCAGACGCGCGAGCUGCUCAUCUACCUCGAUCUCAAUGGCGGAUCUCGUGAUGCCAAGAGAGAGGAGAAAAUGGCAGAACUUAGUAAACUUAUUCGAGAGCUGAAAUCCAUACUUUAUGGUAAUAGUGAAUCAGAACCAGUGUCGGAAGCUUGUGCACAAUUGACUCAA
This 245-nucleotide unclassified non-coding RNA is filed under the name Hevea brasiliensis (rubber tree). The record is from RNAcentral. Lineage: Eukaryota; Viridiplantae; Streptophyta; Magnoliopsida; Malpighiales; Euphorbiaceae.